This is a ribosomal RNA of 404 nucleotides. It matches the Rfam family "Bacterial small subunit ribosomal RNA", at positions 355 to 774 of the family's 1533-position model.
UGGGGGAUAUUGCACAAUGGGGGAAACCCUGAUGCAGCGACGCCGCGUGAGGGAAGAAGGUUUUCGGAUUGUAAACCUCUGUCUAGGGGGACGAAACAAAUGACGGUACCCCUGGAGGAAGCCACGGCUAACUACGUGCCAGCAGCCGCGGUAAUACGUAGGUGGCAAGCGUUGUCCGGAAUUACUGGGUGUAAAGGGAGCGUAGGCGGGCUUUUAAGUAGAACGUCAAAACUAUGGGCUCAACUCAUAGUCGCGUUUUAAACUGGAAGUCUUGAGUGUAGUAGAGGUAGGCGGAAUUCCUAGUGUAGCGGUGAAAUGCGUAGAUAUUAGGAGGAACACCAGUGGCGAAGGCGGCCUACUGGGCUAUAACUGACGCUGAGGCUCGAAAGUGUGGGGAGCAAACA